AUGGAAAACAUUGAAGGUGCCUCCGCAUCCUCUGGGCCGGCGAUCGAUGAUCCUGAUUCUGCUUCUAUUGAGGCAGCGAUGGGAGUUCCUGUAACUGUUAUGUUGGGGCCCAUGUGCACCCUUCUCCAGAAACUCCAUUCGCGAAUGGCUCCUGGACAGAGUAUGGCGCCAGAUCUGCUCGGCUUGAAAGAAGUCUUUCUUCUCAGUGAUAGCCUCCAGGAAAUAUGCAUCUCCCUUAAGAAUAUGUCUGACGAGGACCCUAGCUUCAUGGUUCAGUGGUGGGUGAAAAUAGUUCGCGAACUUUGCUAUGACACGGAAGAUCACCUGGACGAGGUCUACUACGCCGGGACCCAUCAUGAUUUUUCAGAAUUACUUGCUCGUGUGGAGGAUUUGAGUGAAAGCCGCAAAUGUUUGGAGUGGUCUCCUCGUAGGACUAUCGAACCAGCUGACCUGGGGAAAACCAAUGUCAGCCGCCGCACUUCCCUCCAGCUGCAGGUUCCCCUCCCUGUCCAUGUGGAGCCGCCAAAUAAUCUUGUAGAGCUGCUCGAUUUAGACAACAACGAGAAGGCACUCAAGGUGAUACCUAUACAUGGAUGUGCAGGUGUUGGAAAGACAACAGCUGCCAGAGCAUUGUAUCACAGGAAUGCAGGGAGAUUUCAGUGCCGGGCUUUUGUAACUGUGUCACGGAAUCCAGAUAUGAGGGGGUUUCUCACCAGCAUGCUUUCGCAACUUAAUGCACCACAACCCCAUGGUUUUCCUGAUGUGCAUGACCUUAUUGAUGCUAUCAGCGAACAUCUGCAAUGCAAAAGAUACUUCAUCGUAAUUGAUGAUUUAUGGACUUCAUUAGUAUGGAAUAUUAUUAGCCGUGCUUUUCUACGAUGUGAUUCUUGCAGUAGAAUAAUAACAACAACCCAAAUUGAUGAUGUAGCAUUGGCAUGCAGCAGUUAUGACUCAAAAUAUAUAUAUAAGAUGGAACCUCUUAAUGAUCAUGAGUCUAGAAAGUUAUUCUUUGGUAGAGUGUUUGGCUCUGAAGAUGAUUGCCCAAUAGAUAUGAAGGAAGUUUCAUAUGAUAUUAUUAAGAAGUGCAGUGGUCUGCCAUUAGCAAUUGUAAAUAUAACCAGUCUGUUAGCAAGUGAAUCAACCGACCUAAGGGAAAUGUGGGAGCACAUACAAGAUUCGUUGCCGUCCACUUCAGGAGACAGCAUAGAUGCUCCUGAUCUUUUGUGCAGCAUGCUUCCGCACUUCCUGUACAACAGCCUUCCACCUUGUUUGAGGUCAUGCUUGCUAUAUCUUAGUAUGUAUUCAGAGGGCCAGGUGAUCAACAAGGAUGAGUUGGCGAAGCUGUGGGCAGUUGAAGGUUUUCUCAGUGCUGUUGGAGGGCGAGACACACAAGAAAUUGCUGAGGAUUAUUUUGAUAAGCUUGUCAGGAGAGGUAUGGUCCAGGCCGUGGACACCAACAAUAACGGCGAGGUGUUGUCAUGUACAAUUCACCAGAUAGUUCUGGAUUUUAUCAGGCUCAAAUCUGUGGAGGAAAAUUUCGUCAUAAAUGUGGACCAUUUCCAAUCAUCUCUCGCACUUCCUGAUAAAGUUCGCCGAUUAUCCGUCCAGUUUGGAGGGGUAAAAAGCGCAUAUAUACCGGAAAGCAUCGUAACAUCACAAGUUCGAUCGCUUAUAUUUUGGGGUUUCUACAAGUGUGUGCCUUCGAUUAUGGACUGUGGGCUUCUUCGUAUUCUGAUUCUUCAUAUUUGGGCUGAUGAAGAGAACGAGAGUUUUGACCUCACUGGAAUCGGAGAGCUAUUUCUGCUGAAGUAUCUCGAGAUUGAAUGCAAUAUCACUGUCAAACUUCCAGAGAAAGACAUUAUUCCAUGGCUGCAACACUUGGAGACACUCCAAGUAGAUGCAAGAUUAUCUGCUGUUCCAUCACAUAUUAUCAAUAUGAAGAGAUUACUGCACCUCCGUCUUCCAAGCGAGUAUAUUCUGAGCAGUACAGUUGCUCAAAUGAUAUCACUUCGCACACUGGGCUAUUUUGAUGUUAGCAGUCACACAGUAGGGGAUGUUUUAGAUCUGGGAGAGCUGACCAAUCUUCAGGAUCUUCAGCUCACCUGUUCUAUGGUACAUCCUAGAGAAAAUCUUGAAAGAAAUCUUCAAUGCCUAGGCUCGAUUCUUGAGAAACUAAGAGUCUUGCAGUCAAUAACUCUGGUACUAGUUUCUUCAGGCUCCUCUUGUGUAAAUAUUCUUGACAAAGGCUUCAGGAUGGCGUCUCCUCCUAGCCCGGACCUGCCUCUUCGGAAGAUCGAGCUGUCAUGGCGUUGUUGCAUCUUCUUCAGCCUGCCUAAGUGGUUUGGAGAACUGAGGAACCUCUGCAUUCUAAAGAUUGCAAUUAGGAGACUGUCGAUGAAUGACACUGAUAUGCUGAAAGGACUGCCUUCCCUCACUUCUCUCACCCUAUAUAUCCAGAUAGUUUCUGAAGAAAAGAUCGUCAUCGACGAUGGGGGAUUCCAAGUACUCACCUACUUCAAGUUCAUGUGUUCUGCACCAUACCUAUCCUUUCUUCAAGGAGCAAUGCCCAGAGUCCAGAAGCUCAAGAUAGGGUUCAAUUUUAACCAAUGGAGAUCACAUUCCUUUGGAACAAUUGGUUUCCCUCACUUGACAGGCCUGACAGAGGUCUCCGUAAAACUUGGGGUUCGAAAUGCUGAUGAAGAAUUUGACAAAAAAGCUGCACGGUCUGUGGAGGCUGCCGUAAGGUGUCACCGGAACACUCUUAUACUCAGAUUACAAUGCAUGGAUAUGAUUUUUGAUGGCACUGAGGAUAAGCUUACCACGGCCGAAGAAGAAGAGAAAAAACGUGAGGAGAUCCAGAAAGGCAAGAAAAAGAUGAUGGAACGUUUGGAGGGAUAUCUGAACAAGCAAUUAGUGGAUAGCAGAUAUGCGAGAAAAGAUCCACUGACGCAUCAUGCACAAUCAUUCAACGUCGUGACGGGCGCCAUGAACUCCCUCCUCCCCAAGCUGCUUGACCUCCUCGAGGACGAGUGCACGCUGCAGAAGGGCAUCAAGAAGCUUGUCGACUCCCUCUACAUGGAACUGGAGGCUCUGCAAGCUGCUCUCCGUGAGGUGGCGAAGCUGGAGGCUAAACAACUAGAUGAGGUGCUCAAUACGUGGGCCAGGGAUGUAAGGGACCUCUCGCAUGAAGCUGAGGAUAUCGUCGAUUCCUUAGCAGUGCGCGUCGAGGGCUCUGAUCCUGAAACAAUACUAAAGGCCGGUAUUGUUGAUAUCCUUAGUCCUAGAACCUCUGCGUUGCUCAGCAGAGGGAAGGCCCGCCAUGAGAUCUCUGAUGCCAUCGAUGACAUGAUGUCAAAGGUCCAGGAUUUGGCCGCCCGACUUGAGAGAUACAAGGUCGGCGCCCACACCGCUCCUAAUCCAAAUGCCGCAGUUAGCUUUGACACUCCCUUGUCGGAUGUGUACAAAUACCCCAAAGAUAUGGUUGCCAUAAAGGUUCCAAGGGACGAGGUGAUAAUGAUGCUGACAGAUGGAAAUGUGAUCAAGAAGCUGAAGAUAGUCUCUAUUCUUGGAAUGGGAGGAUUGGGGAAGACCACUCUUGUUAAAGCAGUGUAUGACAAGAUUCGACUGCAGUAUGAGUACACGGCUUUCGUUUCAGUAUCUAGGUAUCCUGAUAUGACGAAAGUUUUGAUGGAGAUCCUUUUCCAAAUUGACAAGCAAAACUGUAGGAAUCUCAGUUUGCCAAAAUUAGAUGAUCAUUACCUUAUUGAUGAAAUCAGGAGACUACUUCAGAACAAGAGAUACUUGAUCGCUAUUGAUAAUAUAUGCGAUGUGAAUAUCUGGGAAAUAAUCAAGCUGGCUUUCGUUGAUAAUGGAUUUGGAAGUAGAGUAGUCACAACUACUCGGAUUCACCUGGUGGCCAGGAAGGGAGGUGAAGUUUACCAGCUAAAACAACUUACUGAUGAGCAAUCAAGAGAAUUAUUCAGUGCAAGACUGUUCAAUGGUGACAAAAAUGUCCCUCACAUCAUAGGGGAGGUGCCAACUAAGAUUUUGUCGAAAUGUGAUGGUGUACCACUGGCUAUCAUAACAGCAGCUAGUUUGUUGGUCGGAAAAUCAACGAAUGAUUGUUCCAAGGUGUACAACAAUAUUGAUUUCGGGUCUGAGUUUGAAGACAACACAAGAAAGAUACUGAAAUCUAACUAUUACGAUCUUCCUUAUCACUUGAGGGCAUGUUUAUUGCAUCUACACAUGUUUCAAGAGGACUGUAUAAUCAGGAAAGAAGCUUUGAUGUGGAAAUGGGCAGCCGAAGGUUUAACUGCAGAGGUACCUGGAAAAGGUUUAUUUGAGCUUGGAGAGGGAUACUUGAAGGAACUCAUAAACAGAAACCUGGUCAUGCGGGUUGAGGACGACUCAAAUCCUGGGAAGGUAAUUGGCUGCUGUGUCCAUGAUUUGGUUCUCGAUAUGAUCUGUUCCUUAUCAACUGAAGAAAACUUUAUUACCAUACUGGAUAGUAACAAGCAAGAACCCCCUGUCGAAAGCAAGACUCGCAGGUUAGCUGUCCAAAAAUGGGACACGGAGCAGGGCGACCCUCUGGCUAACAUUCGCCCAGAAAGGCUGAGGUCAUUUAACACCAUGGGGUGUCAUUUGAGUAUGGAACUAUCAGUUUCAAGGUUUAAGCUGAUGCGUGUCCUUGCUCUGGAAGAAUGUACGUUGUUUGAUGGAAAUCUUUCUCAUCUAGGGAAGUUACUUCUGUUGAGGUACCUCGGAUUAUAUAAGACACCUAUCAAAAAGCUACCGGAAGACAUAGGUGACCUGAUUUAUCUGCAGACACUGGACCUGAGGGGAACAAGUGUGAAAGAAUUGCCAGAGAGAGUGGCUGGGUUACGGCAACUCAAGUGCCUGCGAGCUGAUAAAGGCACAGCAGUGCCGGAUUGGAUGGAAAAUCUUACAUCCUUAGAAGAGUUGCGGCUGGGCGAGGUCAGCAGGUCCGCAGACUUCACGACUGAGCUGGGCAAACUGACAGGGCUGAGGGAACUUGAGAUUUGGAUUGACGAGUUGGAUAAGAACCAAAACAAUGCUUUGGUGCUGUCUAUGAGAAAACUAGAGAAAAUACAAGUCCUAAGAAUUAUGGGCAAUAGGUGGACAUCAGGGAGUGAACUUAAUUGGGAAGACUUCUACCCACCUGUACAACUCCGUGAGUUACACCUAUCAAGCAUCCCAUGCCCUCGGCUGCCCAAACGGAUCACCGUCUCCCGUGUUCCAAUGCUCUCUCACUUAUCUGUGUACGUAAAGGCCAUAAAGGAGGAGGAUCUGGAUCUCCUUGGGGCAUUGCCACAGCUCAUCAGUCUGGAGCUGCUAUCGCUGUGGGACGCCGUCCGCGAAAUCAAGGGUGGCGGUGCGUUCCCAAGGUUGAAGUUCUUUAACACGUUCUCACCAUUCAAGUUUCUACCAGGGGCUAUGCCAAGACUUGCAAUCCUUCACUUCGCACUACUCAUCACUUCCCGGGGGCCACUAGAUAAAUUCAAGGUUAAUUUUGAAAAUUACUUUGUUAACUCGAUGUUGGGGAACCUCCUUUCACUUGAGAAAGUGGAAGUGAGACCCCUUGAUGACGUCGAGGUGAUGUGUGAAGCAGUGAGGCGUGGACUGGACCAACAUCCGAACAGUCCAAGCCUUCAUAUCUUAAAAUAA
RNAcentral lists this ribosomal RNA (5685 nucleotides) under Triticum aestivum (bread wheat). RNAcentral describes it as "partial small subunit ribosomal RNA". Lineage: Eukaryota; Viridiplantae; Streptophyta; Magnoliopsida; Poales; Poaceae. The record is from RNAcentral.